GAUGAACGCUGGCGGCGUGCCUAAUACAUGCAAGUCGAGCGAACAGACGAGGAGCUUGCUCCUCUGACGUUAGCGGCGGACGGGUGAGUAACACGUGGAUAACCUACCUAUAAGACUGGGAUAACUUCGGGAAACCGGAGCUAAUACCGGAUAAUAUAUUGAACCGCAUGGUUCAAUAGUGAAAGACGGUUUUGCUGUCACUUAUAGAUGGAUCCGCGCCGCAUUAGCUAGUUGGUAAGGUAACGGCUUACCAAGGCAACGAUGCGUAGCCGACCUGAGAGGGUGAUCGGCCACACUGGAACUGAGACACGGUCCAGACUCCUACGGGAGGCAGCAGUAGAGAAUCUUCCGCAAUGGGCGAAAGCCUGACGGAGCAACGCCGCGUGAGUGAUGAAGGUCUUCGGAUCGUAAAACUCUGUUAUUAGGGAAGAACAAAUGUGUAAGUAACUAUGCACGUCUUGACGGUACCUAAUCAGAAGGCCACGGCUAACUACGUG
RNAcentral lists this ribosomal RNA (497 nucleotides) under uncultured bacterium. Its description in RNAcentral is "partial 16S ribosomal RNA". It matches the Rfam family "Bacterial small subunit ribosomal RNA", at positions 28 to 507 of the family's 1533-position model. The record is from RNAcentral.